Molecule: transfer RNA, 77 nt
Filed under: Actinomycetota bacterium
Lineage: Bacteria; Bacillati; Actinomycetota
Description: tRNA-Arg
Rfam family: tRNA
About the family: Transfer RNA (tRNA) molecules are approximately 80 nucleotides in length. Their secondary structure includes four short double-helical elements and three loops (D, anti-codon, and T loops).
Source: RNAcentral
GCGGCGUUAGCUCAGCUGGAUAGAGCGUCUGACUACGAAUCAGAAGGCCGGGAGUUCGAAUCUCUUACGCCGCACCA